GUAGUCAUAUGCUUGUCUCAAAGCUUAAGCCAUGCAAGUUUAAGUACAAAUAAUAAAUAAAGUCAAACCGCAAAAUGCUCAUUAAAUCAGUCACAGUUCACUUGACCUAAAAUAUCUCUUUUUUUUUUCUAAGGCAUUUGAUAGAUGGAUAACUGUGGUAAUUCUAGAGCUAAUACAUGCAAUUAAGUCCUGACCAGUAAUGGAAGGGACGCUUUUAUUAUAUCAAAACCAAUCGAUCAACUUUGUUUGUAUCGUUUUGACUUUUGAUGAAUCUGAAUAACCACAGCAGAUCACACGGUCUUUGUACUGGUGACCUAUCUUUCAAAUGACUGACUUAUCACACUUUCGAUGGUAGACUCAAUGUCUAACAUGGUUGUGACGGGUGACGGGGAAUCAGGGUUCGAUUCCGGAGAGGGAGCCUGAGAAACAGCUACCACAUCCAAGGAAGGACUCCCAGUACGGGGAGGUAGUGACAAAAAAUAACGAUACGGGACUCAUCCGAGGCCCCGUAAUCGGAAUGAGUACACUUUAAAUACUUUAACAAGUACCAAUUGGAGGGCAAGUCAGGUGCCAGCAGCCGCGGUAAUUCCUGCUCCAAUAGCGUAUAUUAAAGUUGUUGCAGUUAAAAAGCUCGUAGUUGGUUCUGUGUGCCACACUGUUGGUUUACCGCCUGUCGGUGUAACUGACAUGUCGUGGGACGUCCUGCCGGUGGUAAUCAACAAGUUUGCUGGCUUAUGUCGUCAUCAUUUUUAAAUGGUGAGUAGAUAUUUGUUUGGUUACUGUUAUUACCUAUAAUUCUCAUCGCGGUGCUCUUCAUUGAGUGUCGAGGUGAGCCGGCACAUUUACUUUGAACAAAUUAGAGUGCUUAAAGCAGGCUAAAUUCUGCUUGAAUAUUUGUGCAUGGAAUAAUAAAACAGGACCUUGGUUCUAUUUUGUUGGUUUUCUGAAUCCAAGGUAAUGAUCAAUGUGGACGGUCGGGGGCAUUCGUAUUGCGGCGUUAGAGGUGAAAUUCUUGGAUCGUCGCAAGACGAACUAGAGCGAAAGCAUUUGCCAAGUACGUCUUAAUUGAUCAAGAACGAAAGUUAGAGGUUCGAAGGCGAUCAGAUACCGCCCUAGUUCUAACCAUAAACGAUGUCAGCCAGCGAUCCGUAGAGUUCUAUGAAUGACUCGACGGGCAGCUUCCGGGAAACCAAAGCUUUUGGAUUCCGGGGGAAGUAUGGUUGCAAAGCUGAAACUUAAAGGAAUUGACGGAAGGGCACCACCAGGAGUGGAGCCUGCGGCUUAAUUUGACUCAACACGGGAAACCUCACCAGGCCAGGACAUUGGAAGGAUUGACAGAUUGAUAGCUCUUUCUUAAUUCAGUGGGUAGUGGUGCGUUGGUGGAACGAUUUGUCUGGUUAAUUCCGAUAACGAACGAGACUCUAGCCUACUAACUAGACGUUAAAUUAAAGGUAUAUUGAUUAUACCAAUGAAAAUAUCUCUUCUCAGAGGGAUAAGUGGCUGUCAGCCGCACGAGAUUGAGCAAUAACAGGUCUGUGAUGCCCUUAGAUGUCCUGGGCCGCACGCGCGCUACACUGAAGGAAUCAGCGUGUAUUUCCCUGCCCGAAAGGGCUGGGUAACCCGUUGAACCUCCUUCGUGCUAGGAAUUGGGGCUUGCAAUUGUUCCCCAUGAACGAGGAAUUCCCAGUAAGCGUGAGUCAUAACCUCGCGUUGAUUACGUCCCUGCCCUUUGUACACACCGCCCGUCGCUACUACCGAUUGAAUAAUUUAGUGAGGUCUUCAGACUGGUAAUUAAUUUGGACAUUAGCCUAGUGUUGUGACCAAAGUUGCCGGAAAGAUGACCAAACUUGAUUAUUUAGAGGAAGUAAAAGUCGUAACAAGG
This 1882-nucleotide ribosomal RNA is filed under the name Leptonannus sp. UCR ENT 00036782. RNAcentral's name for it is "SSU rRNA". It matches the Rfam family "Eukaryotic small subunit ribosomal RNA". The record is from RNAcentral. Lineage: Eukaryota; Metazoa; Arthropoda; Insecta; Hemiptera; Ceratocombidae.